AAAACGGCCCUUUUAAGGGCCCCAAUGCUUUUCCGAAAGGUGUUUG
Non-coding RNA from Zootermopsis nevadensis, 46 nucleotides. NCBI's taxonomy places the organism in Eukaryota, Metazoa, Arthropoda, Insecta, Blattodea, Termopsidae. The record is from Rfam.